RNAcentral lists this ribosomal RNA (476 nucleotides) under uncultured organism. RNAcentral's name for it is "partial 16S ribosomal RNA". It matches the Rfam family "Bacterial small subunit ribosomal RNA", at positions 331 to 798 of the family's 1533-position model. The record is from RNAcentral.
GUACACUCCUACGGGAGGCAGCAGUGGGGAAUUUUGGACAAUGGGCGAAAGCCUGAUCCAGCAAUGCCGCGUGCAGGAUGAAGGCCUUCGGGUUGUAAACUGCUUUUGUACGGAACGAAAAAGCUCCUUCUAAUACAGGGGGCCCAUGACGGUACCGUAAGAAUAAGCACCGGCUAACUACGUGCCAGCAGCCGCGGUAAUACGUAGGGUGCGAGCGUUAAUCGGAAUUACUGGGCGUAAAGCGUGCGCAGGCGGUUAUGUAAGACAGAUGUGAAAUCCCCGGGCUCAACCUGGGAACUGCAUUUGUGACUGCAUGGCUAGAGUACGGUAGAGGGGGAUGGAAUUCCGCGUGUAGCAGUGAAAUGCGUAGAUAUGCGGAGGAACACCGAUGGCGAAGGCAAUCCCCUGGACCUGUACUGACGCUCAUGCACGAAAGCGUGGGGAGCAAACAGGAUUAGAAACCCUAGUAGUCCCAU